Molecule: long non-coding RNA, 552 nt
Organism: Manis pentadactyla (Chinese pangolin)
Lineage: Eukaryota; Metazoa; Chordata; Mammalia; Pholidota; Manidae
Exons: 3
Source: RefSeq, a predicted model, not a curated record
GAAAAUAUGGCACCGUAAGUCUGGCCCUGAGGACCGUCUGAGAGCCCCGGCAGCUCUUCCAAGCCCAGAAAUGCACCAUUCAGAGCUACCGUUUCUCCACGGAGCCAUCAUGUGGGAAGAGAAGCAGUUUGCUUUCCCCUCCUCUGGCUCCAAAGUGACUAUAAUUACACCACAAGGUACCUUGCUCAUAAACAUGUGGGAUUUUAACCCAAAGUCUCCGGAGAGACCUUCAAGACAUUACUUGCUCCCGUUACAUCGAGAGCAAGCAUGUUUCCCCCACCCCAGAACGUCUCGUACUGAACAGCGCCUGACGGAUUCUCCAGCAAAAAUUCCGCGACCAAGUCGAUCAGCCAAGGUUUCCAUCACACACAUAUCAUGCCUCUGCUUCGCCAUCAGCCCUUGGCUCUCUCGUGGUCCCUGAUCCCUUCUCAACCCCAAGAGUCGCUUUGGGUUAAUCACCUCCCUCCAACGAUGCCUUACGAGAAACUGCGUCCACAAAACACAAACGGCAAGCAGCUGCGGGUUGCGGCGGCGAAGAAAAGGAUCAGAUGC